UUCAGAAAGAAUACUUGGUAUUGCAGAGGUGACGUCGAUUCCACCAAAGGACUUCCAGAUGACCCACAAAGUCAAGAUGCCAAGUAUUAGACAGACUGCGAUAUGGAUGAGUUUUACGAAAAACUAAGACCAGGACGUACAGAAUGAACUAAUUUGACGAUUUACGAAGAAGAAUUUCGAACUAGAACGCAAGAUUCACUGAUUGAGAACUUGAGGUUUUCCGCACGAUUGGGAGAAGCAAUGAUCACUAGAUCCCGUAACGUCCGAAAGAUAGUUAAUCUGCGUGUGAAUGGUCAUGCCGAGGAAAGAUGUGAUUGCUGUGUUCCAAGCUAAAGAAAUUAGUGCGUUACAAACGUAAUCCACGGGGACAAUAUCAGCUAUUUUACUGGUGUCUUGCAGGAGGACGUGAACGAUGCCUAUGCCACAGGCAUAUACCAAGCCUGCCAUA
Molecule: long non-coding RNA, 448 nt
Organism: Neodiprion fabricii
Lineage: Eukaryota; Metazoa; Arthropoda; Insecta; Hymenoptera; Diprionidae
Exons: 3
Source: RefSeq, a predicted model, not a curated record